CGGGCUGUAGCUCAGCUUGGCUAGAGCGCUGCGUUCGGGACGCAGAGGUCGAAGGUUCAAAUCCUUUCAGCCCGACUA
This 78-nucleotide transfer RNA is filed under the name Blastopirellula sp. RNAcentral's name for it is "tRNA-Pro". It matches the Rfam family "tRNA". Rfam says of the family: Transfer RNA (tRNA) molecules are approximately 80 nucleotides in length. Their secondary structure includes four short double-helical elements and three loops (D, anti-codon, and T loops). The record is from RNAcentral. Lineage: Bacteria; Pseudomonadati; Planctomycetota; Planctomycetia; Pirellulales; Pirellulaceae.